AUUGAACGCUGGCGGCAUGCUUUACACAUGCAAGUCGAACGGCAGCGCGGGCUUCGGCCUGGCGGCGAGUGGCGAACGGGUGAGUAAUGCAUCGGAACGUGCCCAGUAGUGGGGGAUAGCCCGGCGAAAGCCGGAUUAAUACCGCAUACGACCUGAGGGUGAAAGCGGGGGACCGAAAGGCCUCGCGCUAUUGGAGCGGCCGAUGUCGGAUUAGCUAGUUGGUGGGGUAAAGGCUUACCAAGGCGACGAUCCGUAGCUGGUCUGAGAGGACGACCAGCCACACUGGGAUUGAGACACGGCCCAGACUCCUACGGGAGGCAGCAGUAGGGAAUUUUGGACAAUGGGAGCAACCCUGAUCCAGCCAUGCCGCGUGCGGGAAGAAGGCCUUCGGGUUGUAAACCGCUUUUGUUCGGGAAGAAAUCCUCUGGGCUAAUACCCCGGGGGGAUGACGGUACCGGAAGAAUAAGCACCGGCUAACUACGUG
RNAcentral lists this ribosomal RNA (484 nucleotides) under uncultured bacterium. RNAcentral's name for it is "partial 16S ribosomal RNA". It matches the Rfam family "Bacterial small subunit ribosomal RNA", at positions 29 to 507 of the family's 1533-position model. The record is from RNAcentral.